UACAGAGGCCCCAAGCAUUACCCGGAAUCACUGGGCGUAAAGGGUGCGUAGGUGGCGUCAUUAGUCCUCUUUCAAAUCCUCCGGGCUCAACCCGGAGGCCCCGAGAGGAAACGGUGGCGCUCGAGGGUGUACGAGGUACGUAGAACUCUAGGUGUAGGGGUGAAAUCCGUUGAUAUCUAGGGGAAUACCAAAUGCGAAGGCAGCGUACUGGGACAUUCCUGACACUGAGGCACGAAAGCGUGGGUAGCGAAAAGG
Molecule: ribosomal RNA, 255 nt
Filed under: uncultured bacterium
Lineage: Bacteria
Description: partial 16S ribosomal RNA
Rfam family: Bacterial small subunit ribosomal RNA
Source: RNAcentral